RNAcentral lists this ribosomal RNA (497 nucleotides) under uncultured bacterium. Its description in RNAcentral is "partial 16S ribosomal RNA". It matches the Rfam family "Bacterial small subunit ribosomal RNA", at positions 28 to 507 of the family's 1533-position model. The record is from RNAcentral.
GAUGAACGCUGGCGGCGUGCCUAAUACAUGCAAGUCGAGCGAACGGACGAGAAGCUUGCUUCUCUGAUGUUAGCGGCGGACGGGUGAGUAACACGUGGAUAACCUACCUAUAAGACUGGGAUAACUUCGGGAAACCGGAGCUAAUACCGGAUAAUAUUUUGAACCGCAUGGUUCAAAAGUGAAAGACGGUCUUGCUGUCACUUAUAGAUGGAUCCGCGCUGCAUUAGCUAGUUGGUAAGGUAACGGCUUACCAAGGCAACGAUGCAUAGCCGACCUGAGAGGGUGAUCGGCCACACUGGAACUGAGACACGGUCCAGACUCCUACGGGAGGCAGCAGUAGGGAAUCUUCCGCAAUGGGCGAAAGCCUGACGGAGCAACGCCGCGUGAGUGAUGAAGGUCUUCGGAUCGUAAAACUCUGUUAUUAGGGAAGAACAUAUGUGUAAGUAACUGUGCACAUCUUGACGGUACCUAAUCGGAAAGCCACGGCUAAUUACGUG